This 365-nucleotide unclassified non-coding RNA is filed under the name Hevea brasiliensis (rubber tree). Lineage: Eukaryota; Viridiplantae; Streptophyta; Magnoliopsida; Malpighiales; Euphorbiaceae. The record is from RNAcentral.
UUGGAAAUUAAGAUAAUGACAUAGUGGUUAAGCAAUUGUAGUUGAAAAUGGGCAUGAGCCAUCCAUCUAAGUUAUUGAAGUUUGUAAGGUUGUUGCCAAGUCUUUGUUGCAGUAACGGUCAACAACUAGGGAUGCCUAAAUUAAAAGAAUAAUUGCGAUUAUGUUCAUUAUAUUAUCUUAAAUGCUCGUCUCAGUGUUUCUUUGGCCUUGAAUAGGAUUCCUUACAUGGCCACUGUCACUCACUGAGAUGAAAGUCCAUCAAAUCUGUGCGGAAGUUGAGCCGAAAUGUUAUUUGUAUGUUAGCAAUUUUGGGUGAAUUUCUAAAUUAAAUUGACGUACUACCUGGAAGGUGCUAGAUAUUGCCU